GUGCCAGCAGCCGCGGUAAUACGGAGGGUGCAAGCGUUAAUCGGAAUUACUGGGCGUAAAGCGCACGCAGGCGGUUUGUUAAGUCAGAUGUGAAAUCCCCGCGCUUAACGUGGGAACUGCAUUUGAAACUGGCAAGCUAGAGUCUUGUAGAGGGGGGUAGAAUUCCAGGGGUAGCGGUGAAAUGCGUAGAGAUCUGGAGGAAUACCGGUGGCGAAGGCGGCCCCCUGGACAAAGAAUGACGAUCUGGUGUGAAAGCGUGGGGAGCAAACAGGAUUAUAUACCUUGGUAGUCC
RNAcentral lists this ribosomal RNA (292 nucleotides) under uncultured microorganism. RNAcentral describes it as "partial 16S ribosomal RNA". It matches the Rfam family "Bacterial small subunit ribosomal RNA", at positions 505 to 796 of the family's 1533-position model. The record is from RNAcentral.